AGAGUUUGAUCAUGGCUCAGAUUGAACGCUGGCGGCAUGCCUUACACAUGCAAGUCGAACGGCAGCACGGGGGCAACCCUGGUGGCGAGUGGCGAACGGGUGAGUAAUACAUCGGAACGUGUCCUGUAGUGGGGGAUAGCCCGGCGAAAGCCGGAUUAAUACCGCAUACGCUCUACGGAGGAAAGGGGGGGAUCUUCGGACCUCCCGCUACAGGGGCGGCCGAUGGCAGAUUAGCUAGUUGGUGGGGUAAAGGCCUACCAAGGCGACGAUCUGUAGCUGGUCUGAGAGGACGACCAGCCACACUGGGACUGAGACACGGCCCAGACUCCUACGGGAGGCAGCAGUGGGGAAUUUUGGACAAUGGGGGAAACCCUGAUCCAGCAAUGCCGCGUGUGUGAAGAAGGCCUUCGGGUUGUAAAGCACUUUUGUCCGGAAAGAAAACCUCCGCCCUAAUAUGGUGGGGGGAUGACGGUACCGGAAGAAUAAGCACCGGCUAACUACGUGCCAGCAGCCGCGGUAAUACGUAGGGUGCAAGCGUUAAUCGGAAUUGCUGGGCGUAAAGCGUGCGCAGGCGGUCCGCUAAGACAGAUGUGAAAUCCCCGGGCUUAACCUGGGAACUGCAUUUGUGACUGGCGGGCUAGAGUAUGGCAGAGGGGGGUAGAAUUCCACGUAGCAGUGAAAUGCGUAGAGAUGUGGAGGAAUACCGAUGGCGAAGGCAGCCCCCUGGGCCAAUACUGACGCUCAUGCACGAAAGCGUGGGGAGCAAACAGGAUUAGAUACCCUAGUAGUCC
This 791-nucleotide ribosomal RNA is filed under the name uncultured bacterium. Its description in RNAcentral is "bacterial SSU rRNA". It matches the Rfam family "Bacterial small subunit ribosomal RNA", at positions 8 to 796 of the family's 1533-position model. The record is from RNAcentral.